GCCGCUGUAGCUCAACUGGUAGAGCAACUGACUUGUAAUCAGUAGGUUGGGGGUUCAAGUCCUCUCGGCGGCA
Molecule: transfer RNA, 73 nt
Organism: Paenibacillus sp. D9
Lineage: Bacteria; Bacillati; Bacillota; Bacilli; Caryophanales; Paenibacillaceae
Rfam family: tRNA
About the family: Transfer RNA (tRNA) molecules are approximately 80 nucleotides in length. Their secondary structure includes four short double-helical elements and three loops (D, anti-codon, and T loops). Further hydrogen bonds mediate the characteristic L-shaped molecular structure. tRNAs have two regions of fundamental functional importance: the anti-codon, which is responsible for specific mRNA codon recognition, and the 3' end, to which the tRNAs corresponding amino acid is attached (by aminoacyl-tRNA synthetases). tRNAs cope with the degeneracy of the genetic code in two manners: having more than one tRNA (with a specific anti-codon) for a particular amino acid; and 'wobble' base-pairing, i.e. permitting non-standard base-pairing at the 3rd anti-codon position.
Source: Rfam